AAAGGAAUUGACGGGGGCCCGCACAAGCAGCGGAGCAUGUGGUUUAAUUCGAGGCAACGCGAAGAACCUUACCUAGACUUGACAUCUCCUGAAUUACCCUUAACCGGGGAAGCCCUUCGGGGCAGGAAGACAGGUGGUGCAUGGUUGUCGUCAGCUCGUGUCGUGAGAUGUUGGGUUAAGUCCCGCAACGAGCGCAACCCUUAUUGUCAGUUGCUACCAUUUAGUUGAGCACUCUGGCGAGACUGCCCGGGUUAACCGGGAGGAAGGUGGGGAUGACGUCAAAUCAUCAUGCCCCUUAUGUCUAGGGCUACACACGUGCUACAAUGGCGAGUACAAAGAGAAGCGAGAUAGCGAUAUGGAGCAAACCUCAUAAAACUCGUCCCAGUUCAGAUUGCAGGCUGAAACUCGCCUGCAUGAAGUUGGAGUUGCUAGUAAUCGCGAAUCAGCAUGUCGCGGUGAAUACGUUCCCGGGCCUUGUACACACCGCCCGU
RNAcentral lists this ribosomal RNA (491 nucleotides) under uncultured bacterium. RNAcentral describes it as "bacterial SSU rRNA". It matches the Rfam family "Bacterial small subunit ribosomal RNA", at positions 903 to 1397 of the family's 1533-position model. The record is from RNAcentral.